CGACCAUUUUGGGGGGAAAGGAAGAAAGUAAAGCUACUGAGGAACACCAACUGGCCCUUGGAUUAGAACACACUGCGAGCUCUGCAAUCAUGUUCCUGCAGUCCUCCAGCUUCGUCUGCCCAAAGAGACGUGGACAUGAAGUUUGAGGAGCACCGACAGGCCAGAUCACAAGCCUACCUAGCCACCAGCCCACAGAGGCCUGGGAAUGCCUUAGCUCAACGGCUCUACUUUCUUGGGCCCUCAGAAUUUGAUGUCUUAGUUUUAAAAAAAAAGAAAAUGACUGAGACACUAAGGGAGCUACUAUAUGAACCAACAAAGUUGGGGAACCUCUGCCCUAAGUAAGAUUCACCUGCCAUGAGGAAUUUCUGCCAUGACUUCAGAGAGAAAAGCAUUCAGCUUAGUGAAGCUGAACAAGUCGAGGACACCCAAGGAAACCGACUGCCUCCCUCCCCACUGCUCUCCGGCAUUCUCGCACUUGGCUUUACAGUUUAUACCUGUAAU
Long non-coding RNA from Symphalangus syndactylus (siamang), 501 nucleotides. RefSeq lists it as uncharacterized. The record is from RefSeq and is a predicted model, not a curated record. NCBI's taxonomy places the organism in Eukaryota, Metazoa, Chordata, Mammalia, Primates, Hylobatidae.